Long non-coding RNA from Helianthus annuus (common sunflower), 776 nucleotides. RefSeq lists it as uncharacterized. NCBI's taxonomy places the organism in Eukaryota, Viridiplantae, Streptophyta, Magnoliopsida, Asterales, Asteraceae. The transcript has 3 exons. The record is from RefSeq and is a predicted model, not a curated record.
CAUAUUUGAUCCCCACACCCUCUUUCUCGAUCUCUACUGCCAAAACACAUUAACAUAACAACAAAAUCCUCACCAUCUCUCCCUCUCACACAAGAAAACCUUGAUCGGACUCCGGUCACUACUCCGGCCGGUGUUAUCUUAUCGGAUGCACACCUAGCCCAUCUCUUUCUCUCGAUCACAAACCUGGAACCACAAGGGGUGACGUACGGCGACACAAACAGCAGAGAGAGAGAGAUAGAUGCAGCGGCGACGAGUCUCGACGAAGCACAACGGCGACGAUGGCUUUGUUUUAUUCGAUGAGUUUCUCCGUAUUGACUCGUGACAGCAGUGGACGAAUCUCGAGUCCACUCGGUCAGAUUCUUGGUUCGGGUUUGUUUUACGUUUGGUUCGAACUCAGUGGAAUCUCGGUUCAGUUGGGUUCGACGUUUCGGCUUAAGUUCAGUUCAAUAAGUGGAGCAGAUGGGGCUCGAGUCUUGGUACAGUCCCGAGUCAGGUUGUUCGAUUCGGUUCUCGGAUUCGGAAAAAGUAGUGGCAGCGUACAUCUUUUUCUUUUUCCUGGUUAAUAAUUUCCGGACUUGAUUGAUCAACUUGAAUACGUGAAUAACAUACCGAGCAAACCAAAGGUAAUUACUGAAGGAACUUGGGAACUUGCCGUCUGAUGCUGCUGGAGUGGUUAUGGUCAUGAUGAACAUUUAUGUUGAUUGGGUUUCGACACAUUUAUACAUUUAUACUUUUGUGCUUCCGCUCAGUACUUUGGUUUUGGUUUAACUUUCAAA